AAGCAAAUCUCUUAGAUCUUGUUAAAAUAUGGAUUCUGAUUCCAUAGGUCUAGGUGGAGCAUGAGAAUCUGUGUUUCUAACAGGCUUCCAGAAGAUACUGAU
RNAcentral lists this microRNA precursor (102 nucleotides) under Marmota monax (woodchuck). The record is from RNAcentral. Lineage: Eukaryota; Metazoa; Chordata; Mammalia; Rodentia; Sciuridae.